AUAUUAGGGCUGAGUUUUUCUUGAGUGUGCUAGGCUUGAUAAUAUAUUGGUUUACAUUUGGCUAUGUUGAGAAGAUUCAUUGUGCAAUAGAAUGUCAACUCGUUUGCUCAUUUUCCAUGUUUUGUGUUCAUUAUUUCUUGUAUGUGCACCCUGGUUGUUCUGGUCCAUGGACAAUAGUUAAUUGAUUUUGUGGAAGUUUUAAAUUUAACUGUGCUUUACAGCCCCUUUGGAUUCAAUGAGUUGGUAAGAAAAGAAAGAAAGUAGUAGUGUUUCUCACCCAAAUCACUAAUUUGCAACGAGUGAUUGGUGAGAAAUAUACAAAAAUGAUAUUUUGUGAUUGGGUUCUUGGGAUCUUGAUCUUCACUCCACCUUGAUAUCAAGCAGACCAAUGGGAGAAGAGUCCAUUGCAUGAGGAUGAUGGAAUGGUGGACGAACUAGUUAACUUCCUAUGGUAAAGUAGGAUAGCCAAAUGAGAGUGUUUUAUUAAUCUCUAGUGCAUGAGACUGGCUUAGAUCUGUACUGUAGUAAAUGUUUUCUUUUUCAUUUUCGGGUUUUCUAGAGCUCCUGUAGAUAUGAUCUGUUUAAUUUUAAGAAUUUUAGGUGUGCUUUGAAGACCCUCUACGUAGAUUUUAUCCAUUCUCAUUCACAAUAAGAUCAUAUGCUUCC
This is a long non-coding RNA of Rhododendron vialii, 666 nucleotides long. RefSeq lists it as uncharacterized. NCBI's taxonomy places the organism in Eukaryota, Viridiplantae, Streptophyta, Magnoliopsida, Ericales, Ericaceae. The record is from RefSeq and is a predicted model, not a curated record. The transcript is spliced from 2 exons.